Molecule: ribosomal RNA, 492 nt
Filed under: uncultured bacterium
Lineage: Bacteria
Description: partial 16S ribosomal RNA
Rfam family: Bacterial small subunit ribosomal RNA
Source: RNAcentral
AGUGAACGCUGGCGGUAGGCCUAACACAUGCAAGUCGAACGGCAGCACAGUAAGAGUUCGCCCUUACGGGUGGCGAGUGGCGGACGGGUGAGGCAUACAUCGGAAUCUACUUUUUCGUGGGUGAUAACGUAGGGAAACUUACGCUACUACCGCAUACGACCUACGGCUUAAAGCAGGGGUUCUUCACACCUUUCGCGAUUGAAUGAGCCGAUGUCGGAUUAGCUAGUUGGCUGGGUAAAGGCCCACCAAGGCGACGAUACGUAGCUGGUCUGAGAGGAUGAUCAGCCACACUGGAACUGAGACACGGUCCAGACUCCUACGGGAGGCAGCAGUGGGGAAUAUUGGACAAUGGGCGAAAGCCUGACCCAGCAACACCGCGUGGGUGAAGAAGGCCUUCGGGUUGUAAAGCCCUUUUGUUGGGAAAGAAAAGCAGUAGGUUAAUACACGGCUGUUCUGACGGUACCCAAAGAAAAAGCAACGGCUAACUUCGUG